RNAcentral lists this ribosomal RNA (482 nucleotides) under uncultured bacterium. RNAcentral describes it as "partial 16S ribosomal RNA". It matches the Rfam family "Bacterial small subunit ribosomal RNA", at positions 30 to 507 of the family's 1533-position model. The record is from RNAcentral.
AUUGAACGCUGGCGGCAUGCUUUACACAUGCAAGUCGAACGGUAACAGGCCGCAAGGUGCUGACGAGUGGCGAACGGGUGAGUAAUGCAUCGGAACGUGCCCAGUCGUGGGGGAUAACUACUCGAAAGAGUAGCUAAUACCGCAUACGAUCUAUGGAUGAAAGCGGGGGACCGUAAGGCCUCGCGCGAUUGGAGCGGCCGAUGUCAGAUUAGGUAGUUGGUGGGGUAAAGGCUCACCAAGCCAACGAUCUGUAGCUGGUCUGAGAGGACGACCAGCCACACUGGGACUGAGACACGGCCCAGACUCCUACGGGAGGCAGCAGUGGGGAAUUUUGAACAAAGGGCGCAAGCCUGAUCCAGCAAUGCCGCGUGCAGGAAGAAGGCCUUCGGGUUGUAAACUGCUUUUGUACGGAACGAAACGGCUCUGGUUAAUACCCGGGGCUAAUGACGGUACCGGAAGAAUAAGCACCGGCUAACUACGUG